AGGGAUGUGGCUCAGCAGCACAGUGCAUGCCUGGCAAGCACAAGGCCCUGAGUUCAAUUCCCAACAUCCCGA
Molecule: transfer RNA, 72 nt
Filed under: Heterocephalus glaber (naked mole-rat)
Lineage: Eukaryota; Metazoa; Chordata; Mammalia; Rodentia; Bathyergidae
Rfam family: tRNA
About the family: Transfer RNA (tRNA) molecules are approximately 80 nucleotides in length. Their secondary structure includes four short double-helical elements and three loops (D, anti-codon, and T loops).
Source: Rfam by way of RNAcentral